AGUUUGAUCAUGGCUCAGAUUGAACGCUGGCGGAAUGCUUUACACAUGCAAGUCGAACGGUAGAGGGGGCAACCCUUGAGAGUGGCGAACGGGUGAGUAAUAUAUCGGAACGUGCCCAGUCGUGGGGGAUAACGUAGCGAAAGUUACGCUAAUACCGCAUACGAUCUAAGGAUGAAAGCGGGGGAUCGCAAGACCUCGCGCGAUUGGAGCGGCCGAUAUCAGAUUAGGUAGUUGGUGAGGUAAAGGCUCACCAAGCCGACGAUCUGUAGCUGGUCUGAGAGGACGACCAGCCACACUGGGACUGAGACACGGCCCAGACUCCUACGGGAGGCAGCAGUGGGGAAUUUUGGACAAUGGACGCAAGUCUGAUCCAGCCAUUCCGCGUGCAGGAUGAAGGCCCUCGGGUUGUAAACUGCUUUUGUACGGAACGAAAAGGUUUGUCUUAAUACGAUGAGCUCAUGACGGUACCGUAAGAAUAAGCACCGGCUAACUACGUG
Molecule: ribosomal RNA, 497 nt
Filed under: uncultured bacterium
Lineage: Bacteria
Description: bacterial SSU rRNA
Rfam family: Bacterial small subunit ribosomal RNA
Source: RNAcentral